This 1390-nucleotide long non-coding RNA is filed under the name Dicentrarchus labrax (European seabass). RNAcentral's name for it is "lncRNA (ENSDLAG00005029450.1)". The record is from RNAcentral. Lineage: Eukaryota; Metazoa; Chordata; Actinopteri; Moronidae.
CUUAUUACAAGUGAAAAUAAUACUGCAGUCUGAGUAUGAAAAAUAAAAGCACACACCAUUUUUUUAAUUGACUUUUAUUUUGAAACUCGGACGGUAGGGGCCGCCAGAGACCAGGAACUGCUUCAGAGUGGCACCUCUGAUUGGCUAACCCUAACUCUCACCUGACCAAUCAAAUCAUCGGAGGCAACGAACACUAGCCAAUCAGAGGUAGCGGAGGGCGGGUCUUAUGCGCGUGGGAAUGGAGGAUUGUUGGUAUUUUAUCUUUUAAAUAUUAUAAACUGACAUUGUUGGGGGGGGGGGGAAUCGAUUGAUGACAAAUAUAUCAAUGAUCCACUAAAGUCAGGAUCAAUAACAGAUCAAUAACUGUGGUUGUUUGUUGUCUUCGCCGCUGUUUUAAUAGUACGGGAGCCUGGAGGGACAACUGAGUGAGCUCCUCCUGGAGGGAGGAGGUCUAUCGCAGUGCAGGCCAGGCUCCUUUCUACAGGUAGGUCUUUUAUUUUAAAUAUUAUAUUAAUGUAUCUUCUGUAUUUGCUGUUAAAACAUCUGUCUCCUGUUGCAUUUUCUGACCUGUAACACCAUUAAUCUCAAUGUCAUUUACAGAUUUGGAGACGUACUGAGGAGCUGCUCUCUCUCUCUCUCUCAACAGAUUCACCUUAAUGCCUCGAGGUCAACCUCUGUGUCAUGAACUGACUCUUCCUUCCCUGUCACAAUGCGUCGCCACAAAUCAAACCUCAAGAAGCGAAGGAAAGAGGACGCAGAGAGAAAGAGAAUAGCUCGCAUGACCGAGACGCCACAACAAACCGAGCUCCGUCAGGCCCUCGAUAGACAAAGGAAACGCCAACAAAUAGCAAACGAGACGCCAGAAGCUGCAAAGCGUCGCAGAGACUUUAACAAGGAGGCCAUGGCGAGGCACAGAGCCCGAGAAACACCAGAGGCUGCAGAACAUCGCCGACACGUGAACAAACUUGCCAAGGCACGCCACAGAGUGCAGCAAACGCCAGAGGAUGCAGAACGCCGUCGAGCCUCGCACAGACGAGCCAAGGCACGGCGGAGAGCACGAGAAACCCCAGAGGCUGCAGAACGUCGCAGACUCUCAAACAAAGCAGCCAUGGCACGGCGCAGAGCACGACAGAAAGCAGAGCUCUGGAUGGACCAGAUAACUGUGGUGAGAAUAGGUGACACACACAUUGCAGAGGAGCAGGUUAAAGACGACGCUGCAGAGUACUACGAGGAGGAGGAAGAGGAAGACGGUGUUUAUGUCAUUGAGUAUUCAAAUCCUGAAGAGGAGGAGGAGAGCUACCUGUUCACAGUGUCUGCGGACAGAAAGCCAGUAACUAACUCAUCCUGUGGUCGGAGUGAACGCCAGAGCUCCUCUACCUGCGAUGUCUAA